UGGGGAAUUUUGGACAAUGGGCGAAAGCCUGAUCCAGCAAUGCCGCGUGUGUGAAGAAGGCCUUCGGGUUGUAAAGCACUUUUGUCCGGAAAGAAAUCCUUGGCUCUAAUACAGUCGGGGGAUGACGGUACCGGAAGAAUAAGCACCGGCUAACUACGUGCCAGCAGCCGCGGUAAUACGUAGGGUGCAAGCGUUAAUCGGAAUUACUGGGCGUAAAGCGUGCGCAGGCGGUUUGCUAAGACCGAUGUGAAAUCCCCGGGCUCAACCUGGGAACUGCAUUGGUGACUGGCAGGCUAGAGUAUGGCAGAGGGGGGUAGAAUUCCACGUGUAGCAGUGAAAUGCGUAGAGAUGUGGAGGAAUACCGAUGGCGAAGGCAGCCCCCUGGGCCAAUACUGACGCUCAUGCACGAAAGCGUGGGGAGCAAACAGGAUUAGAUACCCUGGUAGUCCACGCCCUAAAACGAUGUCAACUAGUUGUUGGGGGAUUCAUUUCCUUAGUAACGUAGCUAACGCGUGAAGUUGACCGCCUGGGGAGUACGGUCGCAAGAUUAAAACUCAAAUGAAUUGACGGGGUCAUAGCUG
RNAcentral lists this ribosomal RNA (581 nucleotides) under uncultured bacterium. RNAcentral's name for it is "partial 16S ribosomal RNA". It matches the Rfam family "Bacterial small subunit ribosomal RNA", at positions 355 to 932 of the family's 1533-position model. The record is from RNAcentral.